RNAcentral lists this microRNA precursor (91 nucleotides) under Bombyx mori (domestic silkworm). RNAcentral describes it as "microRNA bmo-mir-2820 precursor (bmo-mir-2820-2)". It matches the Rfam family "mir-2820 microRNA precursor family". The record is from miRBase by way of RNAcentral. Lineage: Eukaryota; Metazoa; Arthropoda; Insecta; Lepidoptera; Bombycidae.
CGUCAAGCCUAUUCAUGAUCCUUUUGCAUCGUGCAUCGUGCAUGGCCUUAGCGGGACGUACAGCAAGAUGGAACGUGAAUAAGGCGCUUUA